This 241-nucleotide ribosomal RNA is filed under the name uncultured bacterium. RNAcentral describes it as "partial 16S ribosomal RNA". It matches the Rfam family "Bacterial small subunit ribosomal RNA", at positions 118 to 345 of the family's 1533-position model. The record is from RNAcentral.
UGGGUAACCUGCCUCAAAGAGGGGAAUAGCCUCCCGAAAGGGAGAUUAAUACCGCAUAAUAUGUUUAGGUCGCAUGACUUUAACAUCAAAGGAUUUCUUUUAGAAAUUCCACUUUGAGAUGGACCCGCGGCGCAUUAGCUAGUUGGUGAGGUAACGGCUCACCAAGGCAACGAUGCGUAGCCGACCUGAGAGGGUNAUCGGCCACAUUGGAACUGACGACACGGUCCAGCUCCGUAGGACG